This 30-nucleotide non-coding RNA is filed under the name Drosophila erecta. RNAcentral also lists the same sequence under 6 other names. Lineage: Eukaryota; Metazoa; Arthropoda; Insecta; Diptera; Drosophilidae. The record is from RNAcentral.
UGCUUGGGCUACAUAUGGUUGAGGGUUGUA